Molecule: ribosomal RNA, 2416 nt
Filed under: human gut metagenome
Description: bacterial LSU rRNA
Rfam family: Bacterial large subunit ribosomal RNA
Source: RNAcentral
AGUAGGGCGGGACACGUGGUAUCCUGUCUGAAUAUGGGGGGACCAUCCUCCAAGGCUAAAUACUCCUGACUGACCGAUAGUGAACCAGUACCGUGAGGGAAAGGCGAAAAGAACCCCGGCGAGGGGAGUGAAAAAGAACCUGAAACCGUGUACGUACAAGCAGUGGGAGCACGCUUAGGCGUGUGACUGCGUACCUUUUGUAUAAUGGGUCAGCGACUUAUAUUCUGUAGCAAGGUUAACCGAAUAGGGGAGCCGAAGGGAAACCGAGUCUUAACUGGGCGUUAAGUUGCAGGGUAUAGACCCGAAACCCGGUGAUCUAGCCAUGGGCAGGUUGAAGGUUGGGUAACACUAACUGGAGGACCGAACCGACUAAUGUUGAAAAAUUAGCGGAUGACUUGUGGCUGGGGGUGAAAGGCCAAUCAAACCGGGAGAUAGCUGGUUCUCCCCGAAAGCUAUUUAGGUAGCGCCUCGUGAAUUCAUCUCCGGGGGUAGAGCACUGUUUCGGCAAGGGGGUCAUCCCGACUUACCAACCCGAUGCAAACUGCGAAUACCGGAGAAUGUUAUCACGGGAGACACACGGCGGGUGCUAACGUCCGUCGUGAAGAGGGAAACAACCCAGACCGCCAGCUAAGGUCCCAAAGUCAUGGUUAAGUGGGAAACGAUGUGGGAAGGCCCAGACAGCCAGGAUGUUGGCUUAGAAGCAGCCAUCAUUUAAAGAAAGCGUAAUAGCUCACUGGUCGAGUCGGCCUGCGCGGAAGAUGUAACGGGGCUAAACCAUGCACCGAAGCUGCGGCAGCGACGCUUAUGCGUUGUUGGGUAGGGGAGCGUUCUGUAAGCCUGUGAAGGUGUGCUGUGAGGCAUGCUGGAGGUAUCAGAAGUGCGAAUGCUGACAUAAGUAACGAUAAAGCGGGUGAAAAGCCCGCUCGCCGGAAGACCAAGGGUUCCUGUCCAACGUUAAUCGGGGCAGGGUGAGUCGACCCCUAAGGCGAGGCCGAAAGGCGUAGUCGAUGGGAAACAGGUUAAUAUUCCUGUACUUGGUGUUACUGCGAAGGGGGGACGGAGAAGGCUAUGUUGGCCGGGCGACGGUUGUCCCGGUUUAAGCGUGUAGGCUGGUUUUCCAGGCAAAUCCGGAAAAUCAAGGCUGAGGCGUGAUGACGAGGCACUACGGUGCUGAAGCAACAAAUGCCCUGCUUCCAGGAAAAGCCUCUAAGCAUCAGGUAACAUCAAAUCGUACCCCAAACCGACACAGGUGGUCAGGUAGAGAAUACCAAGGCGCUUGAGAGAACUCGGGUGAAGGAACUAGGCAAAAUGGUGCCGUAACUUCGGGAGAAGGCACGCUGAUAUGUAGGUGAAGUCCCUCGCGGAUGGAGCUGAAAUCAGUCGAAGAUACCAGCUGGCUGCAACUGUUUAUUAAAAACACAGCACUGUGCAAACACGAAAGUGGACGUAUACGGUGUGACGCCUGCCCGGUGCCGGAAGGUUAAUUGAUGGGGUCAGCGCAAGCGAAGCUCUUGAUCGAAGCCCCGGUAAACGGCGGCCGUAACUAUAACGGUCCUAAGGUAGCGAAAUUCCUUGUCGGGUAAGUUCCGACCUGCACGAAUGGCGUAAUGAUGGCCAGGCUGUCUCCACCCGAGACUCAGUGAAAUUGAACUCGCUGUGAAGAUGCAGUGUACCCGCGGCAAGACGGAAAGACCCCGUGAACCUUUACUAUAGCUUGACACUGAACAUUGAGCCUUGAUGUGUAGGAUAGGUGGGAGGCUUUGAAGUGUGGACGCCAGUCUGCAUGGAGCCGACCUUGAAAUACCACCCUUUAAUGUUUGAUGUUCUAACGUUGACCCGUAAUCCGGGUUGCGGACAGUGUCUGGUGGGUAGUUUGACUGGGGCGGUCUCCUCCUAAAGAGUAACGGAGGAGCACGAAGGUUGGCUAAUCCUGGUCGGACAUCAGGAGGUUAGUGCAAUGGCAUAAGCCAGCUUGACUGCGAGCGUGACGGCGCGAGCAGGUGCGAAAGCAGGUCAUAGUGAUCCGGUGGUUCUGAAUGGAAGGGCCAUCGCUCAACGGAUAAAAGGUACUCCGGGGAUAACAGGCUGAUACCGCCCAAGAGUUCAUAUCGACGGCGGUGUUUGGCACCUCGAUGUCGGCUCAUCACAUCCUGGGGCUGAAGUAGGUCCCAAGGGUAUGGCUGUUCGCCAUUUAAAGUGGUACGCGAGCUGGGUUUAGAACGUCGUGAGACAGUUCGGUCCCUAUCUGCCGUGGGCGCUGGAGAACUGAGGGGGGCUGCUCCUAGUACGAGAGGACCGGAGUGGACGCAUCACUGGUGUUCGGGUUGUCAUGCCAAUGGCACUGCCCGGUAGCUAAAUGCGGAAGAGAUAAGUGCUGAAAGCAUCUAAGCACGAAACUUGCCCCGAGAUGAGUUCU